RNAcentral lists this ribosomal RNA (433 nucleotides) under uncultured bacterium. RNAcentral describes it as "partial 16S ribosomal RNA". It matches the Rfam family "Bacterial small subunit ribosomal RNA", at positions 29 to 507 of the family's 1533-position model. The record is from RNAcentral.
AGCGAACGCUGGCGGCAGGCCUAACACAUGCAAGUCGAACGAACUCUUCGGAGUUAGUGGCGGACGGGGGAGUAACACGUGGGAACGUGCCGUUAGGUUCGGAAUAACUCAGGGAAACUUGUGCUAAUACCGAAUGUGCCCUGCGGGGGAAAGAUUUAUCGCCUUUAGAGCGGCCCGCGUCUGAUUAGCUAGUUGGUGAGGUAAAGGCUCACCAAGGCGACGAUCAGUAGCUGGUCUGAGAGGAUGAUCAGCCACAUUGGGACUGAGACACGGCCCAAACUCCUACGGGAGGCAGCAGUGGGGAAUCUUGCGCAAUGGGCGAAAGCCUGACGCAGCCAUGCCGCGUGAAUGAUGAAGGUCUUAGGAUUGUAAAAUUCUUUCACCGGGGACGAUACUGACGGUACCCGGAGAAGAAGCCCCGGCUAACUUCGUG